Long non-coding RNA from Myotis daubentonii (Daubenton's bat), 499 nucleotides. RefSeq lists it as uncharacterized. The record is from RefSeq and is a predicted model, not a curated record. NCBI's taxonomy places the organism in Eukaryota, Metazoa, Chordata, Mammalia, Chiroptera, Vespertilionidae.
UGCCUCGUGCUUCUGGAAGCCAGUCCUGGCUUUCCUUUGCUUCUGAGGACUUGACUCAUUUUUAUUCAUUUGUGAAGAAGGGCCCAUCCAAAUGCUUUAUGAAACCCACACUGGAGAACAUUUAUGGAGCGGGUUUUUGCCUUUGAAAAGGCCGAGGAGUCAGAGCUGGAGGAGAUGAACACAUGUGAUGAGGGUCCUCUCACCUUCCCUCCGGUUCCAUACUGUUGCCUACACAAGCACGGGAUUGUACCCCGGCUAGAAGGAAGGGUGAGCGUUAUGCCUGAGCCUAGUCUGAAUGAAGCACAGCUGGCAAAGCCAGAUCGCCUGCAUUAGGGCUCCCUGAGCUCUGGCCUCCAGGGAAAGGCCAUUCAAUCUUCUUUGCUCUGUGAAGCCUUGUCACGGCUGAUUUUUUAAAUCACUUGGAGCCACUAAAACACUCUAUGUUCUGCACACACGUGCACACCCUAUCUCAAUGAAAUAUAAUUUACUUGAAGGAUUC